UACGUAGGAGGCGAGCGUUGUCCGGAUUUACUGGGCGUAAAGCGCACGUAGGCGGCUUUCUAAGUCGGGGGUGAAAUCCUGGAGCUCAACUCCAGAACUGCCUUCGAUACUGGAGAGCUCGAGUCCGGGAGAGGUGAGUGGAACUGCGAGUGUAGAGGUGAAAUUCGUAGAUAUUCGCAAGAACACCAGUGGUGAAGGCGGCUCACUGGCCCGGUACUGACGCUGAGGUGCGAAAGCGUGGGGAACAAACAGG
This 253-nucleotide ribosomal RNA is filed under the name uncultured bacterium. Its description in RNAcentral is "partial 16S ribosomal RNA". It matches the Rfam family "Bacterial small subunit ribosomal RNA", at positions 524 to 776 of the family's 1533-position model. The record is from RNAcentral.